CAAGUGAAAUACAGCCAGGCUUCCCGGGGCCGGGAGUCCGGCAGAGCCCGUCGGGCACGACGGGCCGGUGAGAGCCGCUGGCACGGGCAGAGGGUGCUCUGAGCCACUGCAGGAAAGGAUGAGUCACUGCUCCAGCUCCGCCGGGAUAACAGCACAGGAAGCACAGUGCGUGCGUGGGCUUGGACAGUGGGUGCCUGGGGCAGCACUGCUCUCCUGGCAGCCUCGGGAACCUUGUGAAGAGGCUUUCACACAGUUUCCUCACACAAACAGUUAAUCAUGGCCAUCAGCACCAGUCAUCCCACAGCACGAGUGUUUCCCAGCAAAGGCACUGCUGGGCUUGGCUAUGGCCAGAGACAGCCUUGAGGAGACAUCACAGGUGCCCUCAGAGCAGGGUUUGCUGCUGCCAAUCAGAGAAAACUGAGGCUUUGCUCCUACCAACCACUGAUGCCCAAAUCUCUGCUGCCAGAGUGGGUGCCUGACUGUACCCACAGUCCACGUGUUCCCACAGGAGGUGAGAUGUCCUGUGGUGGGGAGUUGAGAGCAGCUUGGCUUCCAAGCUCUGUGCUCACUGGCCCCUUCCAGCAGCACUCCCAGG
Long non-coding RNA from Chiroxiphia lanceolata (lance-tailed manakin), 595 nucleotides. RefSeq lists it as uncharacterized. The transcript has 3 exons. Lineage: Eukaryota; Metazoa; Chordata; Aves; Passeriformes; Pipridae. The record is from RefSeq and is a predicted model, not a curated record.